This 602-nucleotide ribosomal RNA is filed under the name uncultured Thielavia. RNAcentral describes it as "eukaryotic LSU rRNA". The stretch from base 230 to 383 matches the Rfam family "5.8S ribosomal RNA". The record is from RNAcentral. Lineage: Eukaryota; Fungi; Ascomycota; Sordariomycetes; Sordariales; Chaetomiaceae.
UCUUGGUCAUUUAGAGGAAGUAAAAGUCGUAACAAGGUCUCCGUUGGUGAACCAGCGGAGGGAUCAUUACAGAGUUGCAAGACUCCCUAAACCAUUGUGAACCUACCUUCUACCGUUGCUUCGGCGGGCGGGCCCAGCGCCCCCCCGGCCCCCCGCGGGCGCCCGCCGGAGGAUACCCAAACUCUUGACAUUAGUGGCCUCUCUGAGUAUUCUUUACCGAAUAAGUCAAAACUUUCAACAACGGAUCUCUUGGUUCUGGCAUCGAUGAAGAACGCAGCGAAAUGCGAUAAGUAAUGUGAAUUGCAGAAUUCAGUGAAUCAUCGAAUCUUUGAACGCACAUUGCGCCCGCCAGUAUUCUGGCGGGCAUGCCUGUUCGAGCGUCAUUUCAACCAUCAAGCCCCCGGGCUUGUGUUGGGGACCUGCGGCUGCCCGCAGGCCCUGAAAACCAGUGGCGGGCUCGCUAGUCACACCGAGCGUAGUAGCAUACAUCUCGCUCAGGGCGUGCUGCGGGUUCCGGCCGUUAAACAGCCUCUGCGCUACACCCAAGGUUGACCUCGGAUCAGGUAGGAAGACCCGCUGAACUUAAGCAUAUCAAUAAGCGG